GCGCGGGGGCUGAUGGGAAGCCAACCAUCUACCCUAAAAAAGACACGUGGAAGGAGGAUCUGCCGCGCCAAACGGCCAGCACAGUGGACCUUCUGCUUCCUUCAGCUUUGAACCCCCAGCUCAGGACCCUGAAGACACUCAGCAAUUAGUGAGUGGGCUGGGUGACCUCAGGCAAGUGACAAGUCUGUUUUUGCCUCCAGACCUGUUUUUCCAUCUGUACAACGAGGAUAGUAUAAGCACCCACCCAUUAAGAUUGCUGCACUGAAAGUUCAAUACCUGCCUUCCCUUGUGGAGAACACAGUGGCAGGACCAUACUAGGUGCUUAAUAAACAUUUGUUGCCCGUAUCAAUACAGGUAUAUACUGGGGUGCCUGGCUGGUUUAGUCGGUAGAGCGUGCGACUCUUGACCUCGGGGUUGCGAGGUUCAACCCCACGUUGGGUGUAGAGAUUGCUUAAAAAUAAAACCUGGAAAAGAAAUACAGGUAUAUACUAGAAAGUGGGAUCCAGCGUGAGAGAAUGAUUUAGAGAAAAGCCAGUCUGCAGCCUGGCAUACAUCUACUCCAUAAAAGUGAGAUAUACUGUCCCAUUAGAGUAGGGUCCACGUGCACAGCAAACAAUGAAAACUGAACACCUGCAUUAAAAUUUACACGGGAGGCCAGCUAACCCCAGCAGGCUAGAUGGAAGACCGGCACUUGCUGAGGAGAAUGUGUUCAACUUACCAGCUUUUUAAAAACGUUGGCAGGGGCCAGGUUGGGGAUGGGCACAGGAAAGAAAUCCAAUGGCAGGAUUCGUGAUGUGAAACCCGUAGAAAGAGGUUCAGCAGAGGACUUUUUCUGAAUCUUCCGAACGUUCAUUGCUUAGGUCACAGGUUGGUGACUCAUUACUGCCCCCUCCAGGUGGUAUGGGGAAAUGCAGGGGAAGAAAUGAAAUGCAGUGGGUCAAGCCAUUAGUUGUGCUACUGCGUUUAUCAUAGGCUCAGGGAUGAUCAGAACCUGGAGCUAUGCUCUCUCGUUAUUUCAACCAUCAUCAGUCUUCAUCUCAACAGCAGUAAGAGUGGCUGUGGGGAAUAGCCAGGCAAGGGGCUGAGAGCUUUCCAUGCAUUAUCUCAUUAUCUCUUACAAUACCCCCGGAAAUGGAUACUUUUAGGGACCCGUGUUACACAUGGGGAAGCAGAUGCUCAGACAGGUGAAGCCACUUGCUCAAGAGCACAGAGCUGGUAAAUGGUGGAGCUAGGACUCAAACCCAAGGUCUUCUGACCCUUUCUGCUCUUCUGAUUUUCCAGAUGAUCUACCCCCCCACCCUCAUCGUACAAGUGAGGACAAUGAGGCUCUGAGCAGCCCCUGGAGCUCUGAAGUUGGCGAGGAUCCCAAAUAGCUACGAAGACCUUUACAAAGUUACACUUACGUUUGGCUUUCCAAAAAUGAUCCCAAGCAGAGGAUGGGAGGGGUCCCGAUGCAGUGACCCCCAGCGGGGUCAAUCAGAAGAAACUUGCUAAUGUUGGCAUCGUAUGCAAGUACUGAUUGGGAGGGCAGCCAAGGGCAAUCCACCGCAGAGAAAUUUCACCCGAGGCCGCAGGACAGGGGUGGGGGGCUACACGAGAGACUGGUCACCACCACGCCAUCUACGCUGGCAACAAGCUGAGUCCCUGUAAGGGUCUGCCCCUACAUAAACGGAGGGGCAAACUAUGGUGGACCCACACCAGGGCACACCGUCGGGCAGUCCUAGAUGCGGACACGACAGCACCGGUGGAUGUUAAUAUCACAGCACCACGAAGGAAACAAUAAGCAGGAUACAACCCACAGCACCGUACCGUUCCGGUAAAUAAAAAAAAAAACACAUGCACACAAAACAUGUUUUCCGGGGACAAAUAUAAAUAAAAGGACAUCAAACGGA
Molecule: long non-coding RNA, 1892 nt
Organism: Acinonyx jubatus (cheetah)
Lineage: Eukaryota; Metazoa; Chordata; Mammalia; Carnivora; Felidae
Exons: 3
Source: RefSeq, a predicted model, not a curated record